This is a long non-coding RNA of Seriola dumerili (greater amberjack), 1814 nucleotides long. RefSeq lists it as uncharacterized. The record is from RefSeq and is a predicted model, not a curated record. The transcript is spliced from 4 exons. NCBI's taxonomy places the organism in Eukaryota, Metazoa, Chordata, Actinopteri, Carangiformes, Carangidae.
AUACAGAAGUUUAAUCACGUCUGCAAUUUAUGUAGCUCGGACUUCGAACUGAAAGUUACAGCUCUGUUACAGGGUUUAAGCUGCAAAAUCAUGGCUACGGUCGCUAUUGAAUAUUGUAAAGGAUGAAGCUACGGGUUUCGUUACCAGGAACUAGCCGGUACUCUCCGGCAGGUUCCUGGUGUGCAGGUGAAGGGAGAUAAGGGUAGACCAAAUAGCUUUGAGGUGUCAGUGAAUGGUGAGCUGAUCUACUCCAAGCUUGAGACGGGAACGUUUCCUGAUACUGAACAAGUGACAAAAAGGGUGAGGGAGAUGGUCCAAGGAGAAAAAGCGGGGAAAUCCUCAAAGAAAGAGCAGAAGAACUACUGCUCUCACCAUUAGAGCUGUAUUCACACUGCAAGAGUAAUACAUGGUUUGUCUUCUGUGGUUCGAAACUCAUUCUCAUCACAUCUGCUUAACUCAAGACCAAAAUGAAUUCAAACUUUAAAAUAUGAGUAAAUUUUCAUUUUUAAGUUUUAAUUGUCGACCAUAACCAAAAUCUUUGAGUCUCAUAGUCAACCAAGAAGAUCAGACCAUAAACUGUCUUCACUGUGAAUACAAAGACGACAAGAUGAUGACAGCAACUCCAAGGAGCCAGGCACUGAUCUGUACUUCUGUUUAUGAAUGUAUACAUUGAAAAACAUGUGGUGUGUACACGAUGCAAGUGUAGAAGCUUUUCAGCAGACUGGACCCUGAGGAACUGCUCUGUGCAUUAUUAAAACGUCUCUUUAACUGCAUUUAAUUUAGAUUGGGAAAAAGGGAAAAUAUAACUCUUCAUCAGCCACAUAUAUAUUUAAUAUUCAGUUCCUCUCUGUUUGGAUAAGUCCAGAAGUUUUGGGUCUGUGCUGUGACAGGGCAGGAAUUUAAAAGAAUAGUUUGAAAUUUUUGGAAAUAUGCUUAUUUUCUUUCUUGCCAAGAGAUCAGAAGAUUGAUAUGAUGAAUAUAAGGCUACUUUUAACAGCCAAUUAUCUUAGCUUAGGAUAAAGACUGGAAGCAGUGGAAAACUUGCUUUCAGUGUUGGCCUGUUUCCUGACUGGGACCAGUAAAUUAAUGGACUGUUUAGUCCUGGUCCAGGUCAAUAAAUAGUCCAACACAUGACCCACCCAUAAAUUGGCAUCUUGUAAUUUUUGCACUGUGGUUUUUGAAUAGAUUAAACAAACAAAAUGUAACAUGUUUAUUAGUUUGGUUAGAGUCAGACUAGCUGUUUCCACUUGUUUCCAGUCUUUAUGCUAAGCUCAGCUAACCAGCUGCUAGUUGUAUCUUCAUAUUUAUCUGACAGCCUUAAGAGUUGUAUCAAUAUUCUCAUCAUCUUAGCAAGACAGCAAAGAAGGGUAUUUUUUCAAAACAUUUCUUUUAAUCUUUGUGAGGUUGCAGACAGAAUAUGCAUUCCUCUGUGAUUAGUCUUUAAAUGUUGGACAUUUUCAAAACACCUUAUAUCAUUACGACUGUUCAACUAUGGAUGUCUGUAUUUCUAGUAUGGCACUGUUCUGAUAUAUAAGAAGUAUUUUCUAUUCAUAUGCUCUAUUUUUCCAAAUAUAUAAAUGGACUAUUACCUAGAUGGUGUUUAAUUGUGUUCUCUUUGUUACUAAUUUAACAGUUAUGAUAAAUUUUAAUUCAAAUGUUGCUUAUUGAAAAACAGAUAUGUAAUUUGACAUGAAACAUCUAUCUGGAUUUUUAAAUGACUUGUUCUACUGAUGCUAACCAGUUUGCAACCAAUUCCAACAAAAAAAGCCAAAACAUUUUCCAGAAAUGCAAUAAAAUAUGAGGGAUUAACUGCU